GGUUUUUAGAUUUUAUUAAAAAUCAAGCCUGCUCAAUGCUAAGUAAAUAGCCGCAGAAUUUUAACUGUGCAAAGGUAGCAUAAUCACUUGUCUUUUAAUUGGGGACUAGAAUGAAAGGUUUAACUAUGUAAUUUUGUCUUAUAGUAAUAUUUUGAACUUAAUUUUUUAGUAAAAAAGCUAAAAUUCAUCUUAAAGACGAGAAGACCCUAUUAAGCUUUACAAUUUAAUAUUAUUUUCAAACUAAUUAAAAAAUUGUUCUGCUGGGGCAGCAAAUAAAAAAAUAUUGUUUACAUAUUGUGAUAAAUAAAUCUAGAAAAAUCAAUAAUUUGUUAAAAAAUAAUAAGUUACUAUAGGGAUAACAGCAUAAUUUUUUUAAAGAGUUCUCAUCAACAAAAAAGUUUGUGACCUCGAUGUUGGAUUAAGAAUCCUAUUUUACGCAGUAGUAAAAAAAGGGAGUCUGUUCGACUUUUAAAUUCUUCCA
This 481-nucleotide ribosomal RNA is filed under the name Paruroctonus becki. RNAcentral's name for it is "partial 16S ribosomal RNA". It matches the Rfam family "Bacterial large subunit ribosomal RNA", at positions 1832 to 2600 of the family's 2925-position model. The record is from RNAcentral. Lineage: Eukaryota; Metazoa; Arthropoda; Arachnida; Scorpiones; Vaejovidae.